RNAcentral lists this transfer RNA (73 nucleotides) under Vagococcus sp. RNAcentral describes it as "tRNA-Ala". It matches the Rfam family "tRNA". Rfam says of the family: Transfer RNA (tRNA) molecules are approximately 80 nucleotides in length. Their secondary structure includes four short double-helical elements and three loops (D, anti-codon, and T loops). Further hydrogen bonds mediate the characteristic L-shaped molecular structure. tRNAs have two regions of fundamental functional importance: the anti-codon, which is responsible for specific mRNA codon recognition, and the 3' end, to which the tRNAs corresponding amino acid is attached (by aminoacyl-tRNA synthetases). tRNAs cope with the degeneracy of the genetic code in two manners: having more than one tRNA (with a specific anti-codon) for a particular amino acid; and 'wobble' base-pairing, i.e. permitting non-standard base-pairing at the 3rd anti-codon position. Lineage: Bacteria; Bacillati; Bacillota; Bacilli; Lactobacillales; Enterococcaceae. The record is from RNAcentral.
GGGGACAUAGCUCAGCUGGGAGAGUGCUUGCAUGGCAUGCAAGAGGUCAGGGGUUCGAUCCCCCUUGUCUCCA